Cynara cardunculus var. scolymus (artichoke) is the source of this 485-nucleotide long non-coding RNA. RefSeq lists it as uncharacterized. The transcript is spliced from 3 exons. Lineage: Eukaryota; Viridiplantae; Streptophyta; Magnoliopsida; Asterales; Asteraceae. The record is from RefSeq and is a predicted model, not a curated record.
AGCUUGGCCCAACUCAUUACUGUGUACCCCAUCCAAGUUCAUUACUAUGUACCAAUUCAACAUCGAUUCCUCAAUCCAUCACUCUCCAGGGGAAAAGAUGCAAAAAGAUGUACGUAUUCUUGUGAGGUAGCCGAAGAAUGCUUCGAGAUGUGUCGUAGACUCGAAAUUUCCAUUUCUUGUGAGAAAGAGGAAUAAACAUAUAGAAUGAUUUACGAUUAGGAGGUUGUUGUGCGAGGUUCAAAGUUCCACAGCGAAUGAUAUGAGACAAGACAAUGACAUUGGACCUACGGAACAUGUCGGAGAACAAGGCAAUGACAUUGUUGGCGCAUGAGGGGCUAAUUGUAGGUUUGGUAUAUUUAACGGUUACGGGUUUGGUUGCAUCGGCUAGCAAUGAUAAGAUAAUGGCAUUUGGUUUGAUGUAGUUUGUGUUAUUGGUUGUUUUGUGUAUGUUGUUCGACUUUUAUCUAUUCUAGAUAACUGUUGUG